Molecule: long non-coding RNA, 2493 nt
Organism: Homo sapiens (human)
Lineage: Eukaryota; Metazoa; Chordata; Mammalia; Primates; Hominidae
Gene: LIPT2-AS1
Product: LIPT2 antisense RNA 1
Source: Ensembl
CGCAAGCGCAGGCCGAGACGCCGCAGGUCGAGUACCGGGUGGCAAAGCAGCUGGCCCGGGCCGUGGAAGGUGGCCAGGCCACCGCGGCCUGUGACGCGCACCUCGGCGCCCAAGGCCCGUAGCCGCGCAGUUUCCUCGGGCGUCAGGCCGCCGCGCAGCCCGGCCGUAUACACGGGCCCCGCGGGCUCGCAGAGCAGGAGCGCGCCCGCCUCAGUCCCCGACGGGGCCUCAAUGCCUGGCUCGGCCUGCAGCCGCCGCAGCCAGCGGUCCUGCAGCCCCAGUAGCUCGGCGUACGGCACCCGACCCAGGCGCACCAACCGAACGGCGGGUUGCCGCAUCGUGCCCACCGUUGCGUCCGCGGGGCCCCGCCCUCUCCGUGGGCCUGGGGGCGUGGCCUGAGGGGCGGGGACUCGGGGGCACACCCCGAGCCGCAGCUCCCAGGUGCGUGUUAAAAGCUGGAGGGGGGAUAUGUGAUCCCAGGACCAAAAGCGCGGGGCCAGACUCAUCGGUUCAUUCAACAACCAGUAUUUAGUGCCUGCUGUGUUCUGCAGGCCCUGCCAUAGGCGCUUGAUACAGCGGUGCAUAGCGUAUGAGAAAGAUCUGUCCUGGCUGAGCAUCCGUAAUAUAAAAAUCUGAAAUCUGAAAUGCUCCAAAAUCCUAAACUUUUUGAGUGCUGACAUUAUGCCACAAAUGGAAAAUUUCAUACCUGACCUUAUGUGAGUUGCAGUCAAAACACAGGUGCACAACACCCAGUUCAUGCAACAUCCCCAGUGGGAAAAAAGACCCCCCCAGCUCUCUUCUGCUGCAGUUUUUCUGCUCACACCUGGAUUUCCCCAUGCAUUCCCACAAAAAGUAAUUAAAUGGCAUGCGUGCAGGCUGGACACGCCAACAACAGGUUUCCCACAAUGCCCCACAUGGGGCCAAGACCUGUGUGCAUUACUCACUGCAUUUUUUUGCUUAUUCUCUGCUGUGUGGUAUAAAUAUAUUGUUGAAAAUGUCAAAAAGACCUAAAGAUACCCCUGUGAAUAUCAGUGAUAAGAAAAAGAGGAAGCAUUUAUGUUUAUCUAUAGCACAGAAAGUCAAGUUGUUGGAGAAACUGGACAGUGGUGUAAGUGUGAAACAUCUUACGGAAGAGUAUGGUGUUGGAAUGACCACCAUAUAUGACCUGAAGAAACAGAAGGAUAAACUGUUGAAGUUUUAUGCUGAAAGUGAUGAGCAGAUAUUAAUGAAAAAUAGAAAAACACUUCAUAAAGCUAAAAAUGAAGAUCUUGAUCGUGUAUUGAAAGAGUGGAUCCGUCAGCGUCGCAGUGAACACAUGCCACUUAAUGGUAUGCUGAUCAUGAAACAAGCAAAGAUAUAUCACAAUGAACUAAAAAUUGAGGGGAACUGUGAAUAUUCAACAGGCUGGUUGCAGAAAUUUAAGAAAAGACAUGGCAUUAAAUUUUUAAAGACUUGUGGCAAUAAAGCAUCUGCUGGUCAUGAAGCAACAGAGAAGUUUACUGGCAAGUUCAGUAAUGAUGAUGAACAAGAUGGUAACUUUGAAGGAUUCAGUAUGUCAAGUGAGAAAAAAAUAAUGUCUGACCUCCUUACAUAUACAAAAAAUAUACAUCCAGAGACUGUCAGUAAGCUGGAAGAAGAGGAUAUCAAAGAUGUUUUUAACAGUAAUAAUGAGGCUCCAGUUGUUCAUUCAUUGUCCAAUGGUGAAGUAACAAAAAUGGUUCUGAAUCAAGAUGAUCAUGAUGAUAAUGAUAAUGAAGAUGAUGUUAACACUGCAGAAAAAGUGCCUAUAGACGACAUGGUAAAAAUGUGUGAUGGGCUUAUUAAAGGACUAGAGCAGCAUGCAUUCAUAACAGAGCAAGAAAUCAUGUCAGUUUAUAAAAUCAAAGAGAGACUUCUAAGACAAAAAGCAUCAUUAAUGAGGCAGAUGACUCUGAAAGAAACAUUUAAAAAAGCCAUCCAGAGGAAUGCUUCUUCCUCUCUACAGGACCCACUUCUUGGUCCCUCAACUGCUUCUGAUGCUUCUUCUCACCUAAAAAUAAAAUAAAAUACAGUGUACAGUAACCUUUUAGUCAAAACAGCAUCAUACUUGGAAACUGAAAGCCUACUGUUAUUUGUUAUUGUUGCUUAACAGCUGAUACAGGUAUUCUGGUGACACUACUGUGCUGGCUUACUUAACCUGAAUACACUAUUUUUUUCGUUGUAUUACUGGUAUGUCAUUUUUUUUACUGUUAAGUACUUAUGUGUGAAUAAGUGUAAAAAAAUGAUUGCUUAUCGGUAACAUAUAAAUUCAGAAUCAGGAAUGAUGGUGAUGCCAAACAAUCACAGAUCGUCCACAUGGGUGGCGGAGAUGUUAACACCUUUGCUUUCUGAUGGUUCAGUGUAUCCACACUUUGUUUCAUGCCAAAAUUAUUUAAAAUAUUGUAUGAAAUUACCUUCAGGCUAUGUGUAUAAAGUAUAUAUGAAACAUAAAUGAACUUUAUGUUUAAACUGGGA